AAAAAAAAAAAAAAAAAAAAGAAGAAAAGGGUGGCUCUUUGGGUGGGAGAGGAAAGAGAGGGAGAGAAAGGGUGAAUAAUGAAUGCAGUGAUGAUGGAGAGAGAGAGAGAGAGAGAGAGAGAGAGAGAGAGAGAGAGAGGGAAAAGGGAAAGGAGAUGCUGUGGAAAAUGAAUGAGAGUGAAAGAGAAAUAGAGCAAAGCCAACACAACUAUCUCUCUCUCUCUCUCUCUCUCUCUAGAUUUCUCUCUAUAUACCAAACAAGGACACGAGUCACUGCAAUUAUAGAGGUAUUUAAUGCAUAGAAUAUGGGUUAUAGAUCUUUAAUACGGAAUAGAGGGUGUGAUUGAGUGAGUGGUGGGGAACAGUUUUUCUGAAGCCAUGCACUAUUGUGGUUUGAUGAAAUUGUUAUUGGCUGAGCCAGUUUGCGCCAUUAUCAGAUAAUUUUGAGUCUAAUUAAAAUGGAUGCACUUUGGAAGCAUAUUCUAGUUGACUAGGAGAACUUAUUAUUGGUUAUAUAAUAUAGAUCUAUAACUGUUCAAAGAAACCCAAACAGUACUUAUUUGCCAUAUUGAGUUUAAUGGUUGAUACCUAACGUUCCAAGUUCGAAACCUAAUAUGGUUAGUAUAUUAUCUUUGUCUCUUAAAAAAGAAAAAAAAAAAAGUAGAAUCUUUCCUCCCAAAAAAUAAUUAGUUGUGAAAAAUUUCCACCAGAUAUAUAUAUAAGAACAUUGGAAAUUACCACAUAGCUUUUCUUUUUUUUUUUGGUGAAGCUCAUUUUGAUUUUUUUUUUUUUUUUGAAAGAAAGGUAACAUGCAAUUCGCUUUAUUCAUUAUUUUUAAUAAAUAAACUUAGCUAGAAAUACGAAGCAACAAGCUAGACUUCAAAUUUGGAAUCUCGAGUACCAACUACAGAACCUUGUGCCAUUUACGCUAGGAACGAUCAAUAGCUCAUUUUGAUUUUUGCUCAUGAUAAAUGCUCUGUAGCUUUUGUUUUUAAAAUCAUUUGGUUUCUAUUUUCUACGUAGAAAAUUCGUUCUAGAAGUAAAACUAAAUAAGUACUCUGAGGGGCAUCACAUUUUUCAAUCAUGCAUCAAGGCCACAUUAGAGCUCUAUGCAUGUCUUCAUCAGCUUGCAUAACAUUUCUACAGAAACUGCGAAUACAUCUAAAAUAAGCUUACUCUAUCAUUUGUAUUUUGUUACUGAAACUGCGAUUCUUGUGUCCACCUCAAACCCAAUCACAUCACCAGGUUUGGUGAGGUGGAGCAAGCCCAUGAGGUGGGCCCAACAUGGGACCAUGUGUAUAUCGGAGGAAAAAUUCUAGAAUGCAACGGGUAUAUUAGUGACGUGGCGUAACAAACCAAUCAAAUUAAUCCUUUUAAGAAUAUAUGUCCCAUCAUGAUUGUAAAAAAGUAUUUUUAUUGUAUUUUUGUUUGAAAAGAAUGAAUGUGAUUGGUUUGUUAUUGAUGACGUGGUGCAAGUGUGACAGUGUAGAAUUCCUCAUAUCGGAGAAACCAUUGCAUGCACGU
This 1524-nucleotide long non-coding RNA is filed under the name Ananas comosus (pineapple). RNAcentral describes it as "long non-coding RNA (ACOM_LNC012833)". Lineage: Eukaryota; Viridiplantae; Streptophyta; Magnoliopsida; Poales; Bromeliaceae. The record is from RNAcentral.